GCUUUUGUGUGAAAAACUCCGGUGGUACGGGAUGGGCCCGCGUCUGAUUAGCUUGUUGGCGGGGUAGAGGCCCACCAAGGCGACGAUCAGUAGCCGACCUGAGAGGGUGACCGGCCACAUUGGGACUGAGACACGGCCCAAACUCCUACGGGAGGCAGCAG
RNAcentral lists this ribosomal RNA (161 nucleotides) under uncultured bacterium. RNAcentral describes it as "partial 16S ribosomal RNA". It matches the Rfam family "Bacterial small subunit ribosomal RNA", at positions 191 to 354 of the family's 1533-position model. The record is from RNAcentral.